AAAAUUCUUCACCCCUACCAUCUCAACCACCACACUAACAUACCCCAUCACUAGCCAAACCACCAUGUGCAUCGACCAUCACCACCAUUCCUCACCAUACAUUCACCACUCUCAAACCCACUGUUAAUACCCCAUCAACCACCAUACCCAAAGCCUAACCAAUCCAAAUCCCUUUUACUUGGUAAAAAUAAAACAAGCUCCAAAUCAAAACUUCAAAAACAAAAAAUAAUUAAGUCAGAAAAGAGAAGUAAAAAAAAAAAAAUCAAAGGAGAAAAAUUAUAAAGAGAAAAGAAAAAUAAAUAAAACGGAGACUCAUCUAAUAGAAUCGGAGUCUCCAGUGGUCUCCUUCCAAUUCCGAACGGUGGAUUUAACGCUUAGACUGAGAAGAACAACAUACCUUGGAACUGAGGCAACCAGAUGGCCGGAGAAGGAGAUCGGAAGACAUUCACUCCUAGUUUCAAGGCUUUGAAGAGUUUGUGGCAAAACUAAUAUGAGAUUUGAGACGAGAAGGAAGAG
Molecule: long non-coding RNA, 516 nt
Filed under: Gossypium barbadense (sea-island cotton)
Lineage: Eukaryota; Viridiplantae; Streptophyta; Magnoliopsida; Malvales; Malvaceae
Description: long non-coding RNA (GBAR_LNC020835)
Source: RNAcentral